UGGGGAAUAUUGCACAAUGGGCGAAAGCCUGAUGCAGCAACGCCGCGUGAGCGAUGAAGGUCUUCGGGUCGUAAAGCUCUGUCCUCAAGGAAGAUAAUGACGGUACCUGAAAAACAAGCCACGGCUAACUACGUGCCAGCAGCCGCGGUAAUACGUAGGUGGCGAGCGUUGUCCGGAAUUACUGGGCGUAAAGGAUGCGUAGGUGGAUAAUUAAGUGGGAUGUGAAAUCCCCGGGCUCAACCCGGGAACUGCAUACCAAACUGGUUAUCUAGAGUGCAGGAGAGGAAAGUAGAAUUCAUAGUGUAGCGGUGAAAUGCGUAGAUAUUAUGAGGAAUACCAGUGGCGAAGGCGACUUUCUGGACUGUAACUGACACUGAGGCAUGAAAGCGUGGGUAGCAAACAGG
Molecule: ribosomal RNA, 404 nt
Filed under: uncultured prokaryote
Also listed under: 1 other name
Description: bacterial SSU rRNA
Rfam family: Bacterial small subunit ribosomal RNA
Source: RNAcentral